UCCGCCCUGCCUCACCUCGGGCUGGGCGGGCAAGAUGGCGGCAGGAACGGGGAAGCACAAGCUGCUGAGCGCUGGCCCCACCGAGCCCUGGUCCAUCCGCGAGAAGCUCUGCCUGGCCUCGUCCGUCAUGCGGAGCGGAGACCAGAACUGGGUCUCAGUCAGCAGAGCUAUCAAACCUUUUGCAGAGCCAGGACGCCCACCUGACUGGUUUUCCCAAAAGCACUGUGCAUCUCAGUAUUCAGAGCUCUUGGAGACUACGGAGACCCCCAAGAGAAAACGUGGUGAGAAGGGAGAAGUUGUGGAGACUGUGGAAGAUGUUAUUGUGCGGAAACUGACUGCAGAACGGGUUGAGGAGUUGAAGAAAAUCAUUAAAGAAACACAGGAGAAGUACAGGCAACUCAAGAGGGAUGCAGAGCUGAUCCAGGCCGGACACAUGGAUAACAGACUGGAGGAGCUAUGCAAUGAGAUUAUGAUAAAGAAGAAACUGGAGGAGGAGGAAGCAGAAGUCAAGAGGAAGGCUACAGAUGCUGCUUAUCAGGCUCGUCAGGCCAUUAAGAAUCCACCACGACGGUUGACGGGUGUGAUGGUUCGCUCCCCUGCAGGCUCAACCUCCCCAGGGGGAGACUAUGCUCUGGGAGAUCUGUCUCAGCCUGCUGUGGAUGAGGCCAGUCCAGGGGUUGGUGAAAAUGAAAUGGCAGUGGCUUCUGGUCACAUGAACAGCUCAGGAGUCCUGCUGGAGGUAGGAAGUGUCCUCCCAGUGCUGCACAGUGGGGAAAUGCAGUCGGCACCUGGUGCUGUCCCUGCAUCUCCUGCUGCUUCAGGUGCUCCUACGCUUUCCCGGCUUUUAGAAGCUGGUCCUGCACAGUUCACCUCACCUCUUGCUUCCUUCUCCGCUGUUGCCAGCGAACCUGCAGCUAAGCUCCUGCCACCCCCAGUAGAGCCUGUGUCCCAGGCUACAAUUGUCAUGAUGCCCACGCUGUCAGCACCAUCCGUUGUGCCACCAGCUGCAGCUCCAGAAAGCGUAGCCACAGUGAGCCAACCAGAAGCCUGUGUUUCCAUGGAGGCAGUGUCUGAUUCCCACACCGUGACAGUGUCCAUGGACAGCAGUGAAAUAUCCAUGAUCAUUGAUUCCAUCAAGAAAGAGUGCCUGGGUUCUGGGGCUGGCGGUACUGCAGGGUCUUCCAAAGAUCACUGCAUGGAUGGGAAAGAAGACCUAGAUUUAGCAGAGAAAAUGGAUAUUGCAGUGUCCUAUACGGGGGAAGAGCUGGACUUCGAUACCGUUGGAAAUAUUAUAGCCAUCAUUGAGGACAAGGUAGACGACCACCCUGAAGUCCUGGAUGCAGCAGUUGUAGAAGCUGCUCUGUCAUCUUUCUGUGAAGAUACGGAUGACCCUCAGACCCUGCCUGGCCCAUGGGAACACUCAAUUCAUCAGGAGCACGAGAAACAGGCCCAGAUACCCCAGGUGUCUGUGACUGUGAAGCAGGAGAGACUGGAGUGUGAGGAGCCAGAGGCAAAGGGAAUUCGAGACAUAAUGGGCAUUGGCGAGCUGGGAUCAGAAAUAAAGACAGAACCUGCAGAGCAGGAGCAGAAUCAACUGGGCCCUGAGGAAACCAUAGCAGCAGCUGCAAGAGUGACGGAAACACCAGAGCUUCGAAGUCAAGAGAUAGAAGAAGAUCAAAGAGCAGCUGUAACAGCAGGAGAGACUUCUGAAAUUGAGAUAGAAUCGACCAAGGGAGAAGACAUGGUGCACAAUACAGUGAAGGCAGAGACCCCACCUGAUGAUGAUUCAUCCCCUCCACAAGUCCCAAAUGUGAGUGAAGACUCCUCACAGGCUGAUGUUCAGCACAAAUUUGAGCUGUCAGAGUCAAUGAAGGAGGAGGCCCAAGCCCUGUUUAGGAGUCAGAUGAAGGAUGGGCAGGGUGAAGAGGAUGAUGAGGAUGGUGCCAGUGAGGCUGCCAGUUUGGAGGAACCCAAAGAAGAAGAUCAGGGUGAGGGAUAUCUGUCAGAGAUGGAUAACGAACCCCCCGUGAGCGAGAGCGAUGAUGGCUUCAGUGUCCAUAAUGCACCUUUACAGUCUCACACGCUAGCUGACUCCAUCCCCAGCAGCCCAGCCUCCUCGCAGUUCUCAGUGUGUAGUGAAGACCAGGAAGCAAUACAGGCCCAGAAGAUAUGGAAGAAAGCUAUCAUGCUAGUUUGGAGAGCAGCAGCUAAUCACAGGUAUGCCAAUGUCUUCCUACAGCCUGUAACUGACGAUAUAGCACCAGGCUACCACAGUAUUGUGCAGAGGCCAAUGGAUUUAUCUACCAUCAAAAAGAACAUUGAGAAUGGGCUGAUACGAACCACAGCUGAGUUCCAGCGUGAUAUUAUGCUGAUGUUUCAAAAUGCAGUUAUGUACAACAGCUCUGACCAUGAUGUGUACCACAUGGCUGUGGAGAUGCAGCGAGAUGUCCUGGAGCAGAUCCAGCAAUUUCUGGCCACACAACUGAUCAUGCAAACAUCAGAGUCAGGGAUCAGUGCAAAGAGCCUACGUGGGCGCGACUCCACUCGCAAGCAGGAUGCUUCAGAGAAGGACAGUGUCCCAAUGGGCUCUCCUGCCUUCCUUCUCUCUCUCUUUACAGAGGAGUACUCCAGGAGAGUCAGCAUGUCAGCCAGAGAGAGAGGGCAGCGGAUCAAAGGAAGCUCUCAGCUCGCCUCCUGCUCAUGGAAAGGAGCUGUGCGGAGAAACUAGGGAGAAACUAGGGAGCCAGGGUCACUCAACUGGAGGAGCACUUCCCAUAGGGAUCAGCAGCUAAUAAGGACGGAGGCACCAGAGGGCGUCGCUGUGCCAUCGAGGCAGACAUGAAGAUGAAGAAAUGAUGCUGCAGGCAGACAGAAAACCCCAGCAUCUGGCACCCAGAGCUGGAGUGCAAGCAAGGUGCUGUUAACAGCUGUUGGAGGAGGAAGAAAAGUUGCAGGUCCAUUUCUGGGACCUGACCCACCUUCUUCGCUUGCCCCUCUGGAAAGCAGUGUCUCGUCAGAAUGUGUAACCCAAAGAAACUUCCCUGGAGGGGAAGACUAGCCCCCCUGCCUGUUUUAAGGCAGUCGUCUUGGGCUUCAUCAGUGUUCUGGUGUUAGCUAGCAACUGGUGGCUUGUAUGUACUGUAAUGUGAAGUGUACAGAUUUUUACUAGUGAUGUGUAAAUGUGUAUGUAUAUUAAAGUCUGGGAACAAAUCCA
Molecule: RNA transcript, 3214 nt
Organism: Strigops habroptila (Kakapo)
Lineage: Eukaryota; Metazoa; Chordata; Aves; Psittaciformes; Psittacidae
Gene: BRD8
Gene name: bromodomain containing 8
Exons: 22
Source: RefSeq, a predicted model, not a curated record